RNAcentral lists this ribosomal RNA (791 nucleotides) under uncultured bacterium. RNAcentral's name for it is "bacterial SSU rRNA". It matches the Rfam family "Bacterial small subunit ribosomal RNA", at positions 8 to 796 of the family's 1533-position model. The record is from RNAcentral.
AGAGUUUGAUCCUGGCUCAGAUUGAACGCUGGCGGCAUGCCUUACACAUGCAAGUCGAACGGUAACAGGUCUUCGGAUGCUGACGAGUGGCGAACGGGUGAGUAAUACAUCGGAACGUGCCCGAUCGUGGGGGAUAACGGAGCGAAAGCUUUGCUAAUACCGCAUACGAUCUACGGAUGAAAGCAGGGGACCGUAAGGCCUUGCGCGGACGGAGCGGCCGAUGGCAGAUUAGGUAGUUGGUGGGAUAAAAGCUUACCAAGCCGACGAUCUGUAGCUGGUCUGAGAGGACGACCAGCCACACUGGGACUGAGACACGGCCCAGACUCCUACGGGAGGCAGCAGUGGGGAAUUUUGGACAAUGGGCGAAAGCCUGAUCCAGCCAUGCCGCGUGCAGGAUGAAGGCCUUCGGGUUGUAAACUGCUUUUGUACGGAACGAAAAGACUCCUUCUAAUACCUGGGGUCCAUGACGGUACCGUAAGAAUAAGCACCGGCUAACUACGUGCCAGCAGCCGCGGUAAUACGUAGGGUGCAAGCGUUAAUCGGAAUUACUGGGCGUAAAGCGUGCGCAGGCGGUUAUAUAAGACAGAUGUGAAAUCCCCGGGCUCAACCUGGGAACUGCAUUUGUGACUGUAUAGCUAGAGUACGGUAGAGGGGGAUGGAAUUCCGCGUGUAGCAGUGAAAUGCGUAGAUAUGCGGAGGAACACCGAUGGCGAAGGCAAUCCCCUGGACCUGUACUGACGCUCAUGCACGAAAGCGUGGGGAGCAAACAGGAUUAGAUACCCCGGUAGUCC